This 229-nucleotide ribosomal RNA is filed under the name uncultured bacterium. Its description in RNAcentral is "partial 16S ribosomal RNA". It matches the Rfam family "Bacterial small subunit ribosomal RNA", at positions 568 to 796 of the family's 1533-position model. The record is from RNAcentral.
UCCGUAGGCGGACGAUUAAGUCAGUGGUGAAAGUCUGCAGCUCAACUGUAGAACUGCCUUUGAUACUGGUCGUCUUGAGUUAUAGUGAAGUUGCCGGAAUAUGUAGUGUAGCGGUGAAAUGCAUAGAUAUUACAUAGAACACCGAUUGCGAAGGCAGGUGACUAACUAUAUACUGACGCUGAUGGACGAAAGCGUGGGGAGCGAACAGGAUUAGAUACCCUGGUAGUCC